CCUACGGGGGGCAGCAGUAGGGAAUUUUCGUCAAUGGGCGCAAGCCUGAACGAGCAAUGCCGCGUGAACGAGGAAGGUCUUCGGAUCGUAAAGUUUCGUUGAAGGGGAAAAAGAGCGGAGAGAGGAAAUGAACUCCGAUUGAUAUUACCCUUCGAGGAAGUCACGGCUAACUACGUCCGAGCAGCCGCGGCAAUACGUAGGUGGCGAGCGUUAUCUGGAAUGAUUGGGCGAAAAGGGUGCGUAGGCGGCCUGCUAAGUCUGGAGUGAAAGGUACCGGCUCAACCGGUACAGGCUCUGGAAACUGGCGGGCUAGAGAGCAGGAGAGGGCGGUGGAACUCCAUGUGUAGCGGUAAAAUGCGUAGAUAUAUGGAAGAACACCAGUGGCGAAGGCGGCCGCCUGGCCUGUUACUGACGCUGAGGCACGAAAGCGUGGGGAGCAAAUAGGAUUAGAUACCCCGGUAGUC
RNAcentral lists this ribosomal RNA (464 nucleotides) under uncultured bacterium. Its description in RNAcentral is "partial 16S ribosomal RNA". It matches the Rfam family "Bacterial small subunit ribosomal RNA", at positions 338 to 795 of the family's 1533-position model. The record is from RNAcentral.